This 157-nucleotide non-coding RNA is filed under the name Corethron pennatum. The record is from RNAcentral. Lineage: Eukaryota; Bacillariophyta; Corethrophyceae; Corethrales; Corethraceae.
GCCCCGUCCUCCCCCGACGACCCCCCGGACAUGUCCAUCACCGUCGGCGGCCGGACGAUCUCCCCGGCCUUUCCGGUGGUGGACGCCUCCCCCCCGUCCGCCUCCGACCUGGCGCUCACCUCCAGCCUGCGCGCGUACAUGGACGGCCACAUCCCCG